RNAcentral lists this unclassified non-coding RNA (350 nucleotides) under soil metagenome. RNAcentral's name for it is "partial contains 5.8S ribosomal RNA, internal transcribed spacer 2, and large subunit ribosomal RNA". The stretch from base 1 to 120 matches the Rfam family "5.8S ribosomal RNA", at positions 35 to 154 of the family's 154-position model. The record is from RNAcentral.
GAUGAAGAACGUAGCGAAAUGCGAUAAGUAGUGUGAAUUGCAGAAUUCCGUGAAUCAUCGAAUCUUUGAACGCACAUUGCGCCUCCUGGUAAUCCGUGAGGCAUGCCUGUCCGAGCGUCAGUAAAAAGCAACUCGGCCGCGGCUGGCGGUUGGUGAUGGAGGAAGAGCACGUCUCGUUGUCGGUCUCCCCUCCCAAAAUCAACGGCGGAAUGUCACUGGCACUCGGUGUUGUAGUAUUAUUCGCCGAUCACCCAUUGUUGUUCCUGCCGCCCAAACCCCCACAAUUCUCUUGAUUGACCUCGGAUCAGGUAGGGAUACCCGCUGAACUUAAGCAUAUCAUAAGCGGAGGA